This 274-nucleotide ribosomal RNA is filed under the name uncultured bacterium. RNAcentral's name for it is "partial 16S ribosomal RNA". It matches the Rfam family "Bacterial small subunit ribosomal RNA", at positions 524 to 796 of the family's 1533-position model. The record is from RNAcentral.
UACGUAGGGGGCGAGCGUUGUCCGGAAUCAUUGGGCGUAAAGAGCUCGUAGGCGGUUCAGCAAGUCGGCUGUGAAAGUCCGAGGCUCAACCUCGGAACUGCAGUCGAUACUGCUGUGACUCGAGUCCGGUAGAGGAGAAUGGAAUUCCCGGUGUAGCGGUGAAAUGCGCAGAUAUCGGGAGGAACACCAGUAGCGAAGGCGGUUCUCUGGGCCGGUACUGACGCUGAGGAGCGAAAGCGUGGGGAGCAAACAGGAUUAGAAACCCCUGUAGUCC